GUCUAUGGCCAUGCUACCCUGAACAAGCCCAAUCUUGUCUGAUCUUGGAAGCUAAGCAGGGUUUGGCCUGGUUAGUAUUUAUAUGAGAGACCACCUAGGAAGACCAGGUGCUGUAGGCA
Molecule: ribosomal RNA, 119 nt
Filed under: Pteropus alecto (black flying fox)
Lineage: Eukaryota; Metazoa; Chordata; Mammalia; Chiroptera; Pteropodidae
Source: RNAcentral